UCUUGGUUCCAUUAGAGGAAGUAAAAGUCGUAACAAGGUCUCCGUUGGUGAACCAGCGGAGGGAUCAUUACUGAGUUUACGCUCUACAACCCUUUGUGAACAUACCUAUAACUGUUGCUUCGGCGGGCAGGGUCUCCGUGACCCUCCCGGCCUCCCGCCCCCGGGCGGGUCGGCGCCCGCCGGAGGAUAACCAAACUCUGAUUUAACGACGUUUCUUCUGAGUGGUACAAGCAAAUAAUCAAAACUUUUAACAACGGAUCUCUUGGUUCUGGCAUCGAUGAAGAACGCAGCGAAAUGCGAUAAGUAAUGUGAAUUGCAGAAUUCAGUGAAUCAUCGAAUCUUUGAACGCACAUUGCGCCCGCCAGCAUUCUGGCGGGCAUGCCUGUUCGAGCGUCAUUUCAACCCUCAAGCUCUGCUUGGUGUUGGGGCCCUACAGCCGAUGUAGGCCCUCAAAGGUAGUGGCGGACCCUCCCGGAGCCUCCUUUGCGUAGUAACUUUACGUCUCGCACUGGGAUCCGGAGGGACUCUUGCCGUAAAACCCCCAAUUCUCCAAAGGUUGACCUCGGAUCAGGUAGGAAUACCCGCUGAACUUAAGCAUAUCAAAGCCGGGAGGAAAC
Molecule: small RNA, 617 nt
Filed under: Colletotrichum horii
Lineage: Eukaryota; Fungi; Ascomycota; Sordariomycetes; Glomerellales; Glomerellaceae
Description: eukaryotic LSU rRNA
Rfam family: 5.8S ribosomal RNA (bases 243-396)
Source: RNAcentral